CCGAGAGAGGGCGCCCCGCGCCCGACCUCCAACCCUUUGUCGAUUCAUACCGCGUUGCCUCGGGGUGGCCCUCGCCGGCGCCCCAGAGGACACCAAUCAAAACUCUGUGUACCGUACGUCCGAGUCCAUUGAUGAAUCAAUCA
RNAcentral lists this unclassified non-coding RNA (143 nucleotides) under uncultured Ascomycota. Its description in RNAcentral is "sequence contains ITS1". The record is from RNAcentral. Lineage: Eukaryota; Fungi; Ascomycota.